AACAUCGCGCACCUGCGGGAACCUGCGGAGGGAUCAUUACUGAGUCACGUGCUCAAACAACCCUUCUGUGGACCUGAAAUAAAACCGUUGCCUCGGCGGGCGGUCCCCCCCAAACCAACCCCGCGUGGUGGGUUAGGGGAGACCAGACAGUCCGGUACGCUUAAGGCGUCCGGCGCCAGCCGCUGGCCCCAAACAAUUAAACUCUAGUAAUCUUUACCUUCUGAGUUUCAAUAUUUAAAA
RNAcentral lists this unclassified non-coding RNA (240 nucleotides) under soil metagenome. RNAcentral describes it as "partial contains 5.8S ribosomal RNA, internal transcribed spacer 2, and large subunit ribosomal RNA". The record is from RNAcentral.